RNAcentral lists this non-coding RNA (24 nucleotides) under Mus musculus (house mouse). The record is from RNAcentral. Lineage: Eukaryota; Metazoa; Chordata; Mammalia; Rodentia; Muridae.
UACAGGCCAGAAGAGGGCAUCAAA